RNAcentral lists this ribosomal RNA (451 nucleotides) under uncultured organism. Its description in RNAcentral is "partial 16S ribosomal RNA". It matches the Rfam family "Bacterial small subunit ribosomal RNA", at positions 329 to 797 of the family's 1533-position model. The record is from RNAcentral.
ACGUACACUCCUACGGGAGGCAGCAGUGGGGAAUAUUGGACAAUGGGCGCAAGCCUGAUCCAGCCAUGCCGCGUGAGUGAUGAAGGCCCUAGGGUUGUAAAGCUCUUUCACCGGUGAAGAUAAUGACGGUAACCGGAGAAGAAGCCCCGGCUAACUUCGUGCCAGCAGCCGCGGUAAUACGAAGGGGGCUAGCGUUGUUCGGAUUUACUGGGCGUAAAGCGCACGUAGGCGGACUAUUAAGUCAGGGGUGAAAUCCCGGGGCUCAACCCCGGAACUGCCUUUGAUACUGGUGGUCUUGAGUUCGAGAGAGGUGAGUGGAAUUCCGAGUGUAGAGGUGAAAUUCGUAGAUAUUCGGAGGAACACCAGUGGCGAAGGCGGCUCACUGGCUCGAUACUGACGCUGAGGUGCGAAAGCGUGGGGAGCAAACAGGAUUAGAAACCCUGGUAGUCCC